RNAcentral lists this ribosomal RNA (377 nucleotides) under uncultured bacterium. RNAcentral describes it as "bacterial SSU rRNA". It matches the Rfam family "Bacterial small subunit ribosomal RNA", at positions 523 to 898 of the family's 1533-position model. The record is from RNAcentral.
AUACGUAGGGGGCAAGCGUUGUCCGGAAUGAUUGGGCGUAAAGGGCGCGUAGGCGGCUCGGUAAGUCUGGAGUGAAAUUCCUGCUUUCAAGGUGGGAACUGCUUUGGAUACUGUCGGGCUUGAGUGCAGGAGAGGUAAGUGGAAUUCCCGGUGUAGCGGUGAAAUGCGUAGAGAUCGGGAGGAACACCAGUGGCGAAGGCGACUUACUGGACUGUAACUGACGCUGAGGCGCGAAAGUGUGGGGAGCAAACAGGAUUAGAUACCCUGGUAGUCCACACUGUAAACGAUGAAUGCUAGGUGUAGGGGGUAUCGACCCCUUCUGUGCCGGAGUCAACACAAUAAGCAUUCCGCCUGGGGAGUACGGCCGCAAGGUUGAA